GACGAACGCUGGCGGCGUGCUUAACACAUGCAAGUCGAACGGAAAGGCCCUGCUUUUGUGGGGUGCUCGAGUGGCGAACGGGUGAGUAACACGUGAGUAACCUGCCCUUGACUUUGGGAUAACUUCAGGAAACGGGGGCUAAUACCGGAUAUGAGCUCCUGCUGCAUGGUGGGGGUUGGAAAGUUUCGGCGGUUGGGUAUGGACUCGCGGCUUAUCAGCUUGUUGGUGGGGUAGUGGCUUACCAAGGCUUUGACGGGUAGCCGGCCUGAGAGGGUGACCGGCGACACUGGGACUGGGAUACGGCCCGAAGCAGUACGGGAGGCAGUAGUGGGGAAUAUGGCACAAUGGGCGGACGACGGAGGCAGCAACGCCGCGUGCGGGAUGACGGACUUCGCGUUGGAGACCGCUUUCGCCUGUGACGAAGCGUAAGUGACGGUAAUGGGUAAAGAAGCCCCGGCUAACUACGUG
This 468-nucleotide ribosomal RNA is filed under the name uncultured bacterium. Its description in RNAcentral is "partial 16S ribosomal RNA". It matches the Rfam family "Bacterial small subunit ribosomal RNA", at positions 28 to 507 of the family's 1533-position model. The record is from RNAcentral.